AGGUGACCUGCGGUAGGAUCAUUG
RNAcentral lists this ribosomal RNA (24 nucleotides) under Gnetum edule. RNAcentral describes it as "partial 18S ribosomal RNA". The record is from RNAcentral. Lineage: Eukaryota; Viridiplantae; Streptophyta; Gnetopsida; Gnetales; Gnetaceae.